Molecule: transfer RNA, 72 nt
Filed under: Agrilus planipennis (emerald ash borer)
Lineage: Eukaryota; Metazoa; Arthropoda; Insecta; Coleoptera; Buprestidae
Rfam family: tRNA
About the family: Transfer RNA (tRNA) molecules are approximately 80 nucleotides in length. Their secondary structure includes four short double-helical elements and three loops (D, anti-codon, and T loops). Further hydrogen bonds mediate the characteristic L-shaped molecular structure. tRNAs have two regions of fundamental functional importance: the anti-codon, which is responsible for specific mRNA codon recognition, and the 3' end, to which the tRNAs corresponding amino acid is attached (by aminoacyl-tRNA synthetases). tRNAs cope with the degeneracy of the genetic code in two manners: having more than one tRNA (with a specific anti-codon) for a particular amino acid; and 'wobble' base-pairing, i.e. permitting non-standard base-pairing at the 3rd anti-codon position.
Source: Rfam by way of RNAcentral
CCUCUUGUAGCUCAGUGUGUAGAGCACUGGUCCGCAAAACCAAGGGCCUGAGUUCGAUUCCCGACGAGGGCG